RNAcentral lists this ribosomal RNA (253 nucleotides) under uncultured bacterium. RNAcentral describes it as "partial 16S ribosomal RNA". It matches the Rfam family "Bacterial small subunit ribosomal RNA", at positions 524 to 776 of the family's 1533-position model. The record is from RNAcentral.
UACGUAGGUGGCAAGCGUUGUCCGGAUUUACUGGGCGUAAAGAGCGCGCAGGCGGUCGAGUAAGUCGGAUGUGAAAGCCCCCGGCUCAACUGGGGAGGGUCAUUCGAUACUGAUCGACUCGAAGGCAGGAGAGGGAAGCGGAAUUCCCGGUGUAGUGGUGAAAUGCGUAGAUAUCGGGAGGAACACCAGUGGCGAAGGCGGCUUUCUGGCCUGUUCUUGACGCUGAGGCGCGAAAGCUAGGGGAGCGAACGGG